AGAGUUUGAUCCUGGCUCAGGGUGAACGCUGGCGGCGUGCUUGACACAUGCAAGUCGAACGGUAUGUGGCAACACAUAGAGUGGCGAACGGGUGAGUAACACGUGGGAACGUAUCUUUUGCAGGGGGAUAACUGACCGAAAGGACAGCUAAUACCGCAUAAGUCCGGGAGGAGGAAGGUGCAACAGCAUCGGCAGAAGAGCGGCCCGCGGUCCAUCAGCUAGUUGGUGAAGUAAGGGCUUACCAAGGCGACGACGGAUAGCCGGCGUGAGAGCGUGGCCGGCCACAAGGACACUGAGAUACGGGUCCUACUCCUACGGGAGGCAGCAGUGCGGAAUUUUAGAUAAUGGAGGGAACUCUGAUCUAGCGACGCCGCGUGCAGGAAGAAGGUCUUCGGAUUGUAAACUGCUGUGGUAAGGGAAAAAUGCUAUGUAGAGUGGAAAGCUACAUAGAGGGAUGGUACCUUACUAGAAAGCCCCGGCUAACUACGUGCCAGCAGCCGCGGUAAUACGUAGGGGGCGAGCGUUACCCGGAAUCACUGGGCGUAAAGGGAGCGUAGGUGGCCUAACAUGUCAACUGUGAAAACCCGGAGCUCAACUCCGGACUUGCAGUUGAAACUGGUAGGCUUGAGGACGGUAGAGGAAGACGGAACUGCCAGGGUAGGGGUAAAAUCCUUAGAUAUUGGCAGGAACCCCGGUGACGAAGGUGGUUUUUUGGGCCGGUUCUGACACUGAUGCUCGAAAGCCAGGGGAGCGAACGGGAUUAGAUACCCCGGUAGUCCUGGCCCUAAACGAUGUUCACUAGGUGUGGGGAGCGGAAAGCUCUCCGUGCUAAAGCUAACGCGAUAAGUGAACCGCCUGGGGAGUACGCCCGCAAGGGUGAAACUCAAAGGAAUUGACGG
RNAcentral lists this ribosomal RNA (899 nucleotides) under Thermotogae bacterium enrichment culture clone H12_1_24. RNAcentral describes it as "bacterial SSU rRNA". It matches the Rfam family "Bacterial small subunit ribosomal RNA", at positions 8 to 916 of the family's 1533-position model. The record is from RNAcentral. Lineage: Bacteria; Thermotogati; Thermotogota; Thermotogae.